This 273-nucleotide ribosomal RNA is filed under the name Escherichia coli. RNAcentral describes it as "partial 23S ribosomal RNA". It matches the Rfam family "Bacterial large subunit ribosomal RNA", at positions 335 to 610 of the family's 2925-position model. The record is from RNAcentral. Lineage: Bacteria; Pseudomonadati; Pseudomonadota; Gammaproteobacteria; Enterobacterales; Enterobacteriaceae.
GAAGCGUCUGGAAAGGCGCGCGAUACAGGGUGACAGCCCCGUACACAAAAAUGCACAUACUGUGAGCUCGAUGAGUAGGGCGGGACACGUGGUAUCCUGUCUGAAUAUGGGGGGACCAUCCUCCAAGGCUAAAUACUCCUGACUGACCGAUAGUGAACCAGUACCGUGAGGGAAAGGCGAAAAGAACCCCGGCGAGGGGAGUGAAAAAGAACCUGAAACCGUGUACGUACAAGCAGUGGGAGCACGCUUAGGCGUGUGACUGCGUACCUUUUG